GACGAACGCUGGCGGCGUGCCUAAUACAUGCAAGUCGAGCGGACCUUUCGGGGUCAGCGGCGGACGGGUGAGUAACACGUGGGCAAUCUGCCCGAUACUCUGGGAUAACGCUUGGAAACGAGUGCUAAUACCGGAUGGUCUUCUUGGCCGCAUGGCCGAGAAGGAAAAGACGCGUUCGCGUCGGUGUCGGAUGAGCCCGCGGCGCAUUAGCUAGUUGGUGAGGUAACGGCCCACCAAGGCGACGAUGCGUAGCCGACCUGAGAGGGUGACCGGCCACACUGGGACUGAGACACGGCCCAGACUCCUACGGGAGGCAGCAGUAGGGAAUCUUCCACAAUGGGCGAAAGCCUGAUGGAGCAACGCCGCGUGAGUGAUGAAGGCCUUCGGGUUGUAAAACUCUGUCAUUCGGGACGAACCGGAGUCUGAGGAAAUGCAGACUCUCUGACGGUACCGGAGGAGGAAGCCCCGGCUAACUACGUGCCAGCGCCGCGGUAA
RNAcentral lists this ribosomal RNA (495 nucleotides) under uncultured bacterium. RNAcentral describes it as "bacterial SSU rRNA". It matches the Rfam family "Bacterial small subunit ribosomal RNA", at positions 28 to 523 of the family's 1533-position model. The record is from RNAcentral.